CGAAUCUCCUUAUUGAAUAUCAUGACAUAAUCGCCUUAUUGACAAUAAUGUCCAAAUCUCCUUAUUGAUAACCAUGACCGAAUUUCCUUAUUGACAAUUAUGUCCGAAUCUCUUAAUUGUAAAUCAUGACCGAAUUUCGUAGUUGACAAUCAUGACCGACCUCAUUAUUCACAAUCAUGUCCAAAUUUCCUUAUUAAUAAUCAUGACCAAAUUUCCUUAUCUCUGUGUUAUCAACAAUCAUGUCCGAAUCUCCUUAUUGAUAAUCAUUCAACUUAUUUAAUGCGUAUUGAUUUUUUUUCUUAUUUUCACACUGUCUCAUAUUCAUAUACGUAAAACCAACAUUUUCUUUAUCUUCCUUAUUGAGAAUCGGGAUCGAAUCUUCUUAUUGCCAAUCCGGACCGAAUCCCUAUUGACAAACAUGUCCAAAUCUCCUUAUUGAUAAUCAUCCCGAAUCUCCUUAUUGACAAUCGGGACCGAAUCUCCUUAUUGACAGUCGGGACCGAAUCUCCUUAUUGACAAUCAUGUCCAAAUCUCCUUAUUGACAAAUAUGUCUAAAUGUCAUUAUUGAUUAUCAUUCCGAAUCUCCUUGUUGACAGUCGGGACCGAAUCUCCUUAUUGACAAUCAUAAACAAAUCUCCUUAUUGACAAUCAUGUCCAAAUCUCCUUAUUGAUAAUCAUCCCGAAUCUCCUUAUUGACUAUCAUGUCCGGAUCUCCUUAUUGACUAUCAUGUCCGGAUCUCCUUAUUGAUAAUCAUGACAAAAGCUCCGUAUUGAUAAUCAUGACCGAAUAUCCUUAUUGAUAAUCAUAUAACGUAUUUGAAGCGAAUUGAUUAUUCUAAUUAUUGUGACAUUGCCUAACUGCCUCAUGUACGUAAUACCAACAUCUUCUUUACUUAAAUUGAAAGUUGUUAUGUUAAUUUUGUCAUUAUGUUGUUGUCUCGUUUACGUGUAACGCAUUUCCUUGCUUAUUUAUACUGAACUUUUUAACAGACAUCUUCAAAUUAAACUGUCUUUGAUAUUAAGUCGGGAUGUUCUCUGAUAUCUCCUUUUAUUUAUACGGAACUGUCAUAAUAUACUUUUUUUCGAUGAGUUGCUGUCUCGAAAACGUAUGACAGACAUUUACUAUUAUUCAUAUGGAACUGUCCUUAGAUCAACUUUUAGAUGAAUUGCUGCCUCAUAACUGUAAUUUGUGGUAUAUCUAUACCAACGAAAUCCACUAAAACUUGUACCCCACGAAUAAUAAUGAAUCCUUAGAAGUUUAAUUUUUCUGUAUAAUCUCGAUAAGAUGUCGUCGAGUCUCGGGUCCAAUACAGCUAAUCUCAAAUCUAUAACAGGGCCAAUACAGAAAUUGUCAGUUAAUAACACUAUAAAUUAAUUUUAAACAGAUCUUAAUUAGAUCACAAAAAAUUAUAUAAUUCAAUUAAAAUAAUAUUUGUAAUCGAGAUCAAGAAAAUGUUGAAUAAGGUUGAAAAAGUCACCCGUCAUGUCUUAUUAUUUAACAUCAUACAGAAAGGCUUCAUUGGAUGAUUUGAAACUAACAAUUCAUUGGUAGACGUGUCAUAAUGCAGAGCCCAUGGGAAGCUCAGUCCAUCUUCACUUGAUAAGAGUUGUCUGUAGUGUUGUCCAUCAGCAGAGAUAACAACCACAUUGCUAGUAUAAAAUCCCACUACAUACACGUUACCAUCAUUGUCUACAGAGAUACCGCGUGGAGAGCGCACAACACUUUUAUCACAGAACGUCCACAGUAUGUGACCAUGGUAAUCACAGCAGGUUACGCUGUCAUUGGAAUUUGUGUAGAACAAUUUGUCACCGAAUGUUGUAACGUACGCAAGACCUGAAAGUUUGGUAUUGUUAACAUUGGUAAUUGUUUCGUCAUUCAGACUGAUCAUCUGUAUUCCUUUCUCUCUGGCACAAUAUAUUAAAUAUCCAUCUUUGUAUGCUACUCCACCAUUAUAUGAAUCAACUUUUAUUGAUUUCGUCUUUGAUUUCUUCUUUAAGUCGAUUAUAUUAAUCUGAUUUGAAUUGCCGGAAGUUACAGCAAUAGAAUCAUCACCAAUAAAUACCACAUCAAACGUUCGACCAAUGUUCUUUAUCUCAAAAUCUUUUGAUCCGUCAGACUUUAGUACUGUUAAUUUAUUGUCCAUAUAGAGGAGAAUACCAUCCGAUCACCAGGAAGCAAUGAACAACCAGAGACAUCUGACAACUUUGUCUUGAUACGUUUCUGUAAUGUCAGAGUCAGGUUAUCGAUAUCUCUGGUUGGAAGAGUGACCAUAAUCUGGGCUUGUCUGUCCUUCCGUUUCUGAAUGGUAAAAUCACAUGGAUCAGAACUGACAUUAAUUUCUCCAAACUUCUGCACGCUGGCUGUUAUUUGUUGCAAAGACUUGUUAAUCUGACAUGAAAUAUUGACUUGAUUUGUGGAGUCACUUGUGGCAAUCGAUUUGAUAAAUUUUUCUUCGCCUAUAAUAUCUUUUUCGAUAUCUUUCAUUGUUAAAAAUGUUUGAAGUUCUGACGCAUGAUUUUUAAUACUGGCAAAGUUUUCUUGUACUUCAGCGAUCUCUUUUUCCUUCUUUUUUAGAGAAGUUAACAAUUUUUCUAUUUUGCUUUUUUCUCUUUGUUCAACUGUCAUUAGUUCUUUAAUCAAGUCAUCCUGAAGUUUAUCAAGGUGAUGAUUAACGUUUAUCCUGGUUUGUUUUAUUGCUGCUUCAAUUUCUCUUUUCUUGUUUUCUAUAGAUUUUAAAUUUUCAUUCCUGUUUGUGCUUAGUGUGUUAUAUAUUCUCGACGACUUCCUGCAGGGUUUGUUCGAUUUCAUUAAAUGCGUUUGAAGUUUUUACGUUUUUUAUGAGUUCAUUUAUGUCAGUUAAACCUUUACAAUCGUUGUGAGAUUUCACACAUUUCUUACAGCAAGGACAAUCGUGUUUUGCACAAAACAGCUCGUAUUUCUCAUUAUGAAGUUUGCAGGUCUGAGAGAUUUGCAGGACUUCGGUGGGUAAGUUUUUGUAUUUGGCGAUAGAAACGGUUUCAUGGUUUUUUGAUGCCUUGGAAACUGCGUGAUGUUUCUUACAAUCUCCACAUAGUCCUUCGUCACAUUCGGAACACCAUACUACUGAAGGUUUGGUAAUCUGAAGGUUUUCACAAAUACCACAAAUACCCCAAUUGGUGGCCAUAAUCCUAAAAUAGAUUGCAUGUACUUACAUGAAUACUGUUGUGUUUUUUUCUAUGGUCGGGUUGUUGUCUCUUUGACACAUUCCCCAUUUCCAUUCUCAAUUUUAUCUAAUAUAUGGUGAAAUGUCUCGCAUACUUAAAGGUUAUAAUUUAAUUUUAUCUUUAAGGCCUUUAAUAUUAGUAUAAAG
Molecule: long non-coding RNA, 3350 nt
Filed under: Mytilus galloprovincialis (Mediterranean mussel)
Lineage: Eukaryota; Metazoa; Mollusca; Bivalvia; Mytilida; Mytilidae
Source: RNAcentral